CUUAUUUAUUAGAAAUGAGAAAGAAAAAUUCUUUUCAUUCUGGUUUGUUUUCUGUUUUCCUUAUUUCAAAAUUAUGCAAUUUCGUCAAUAUGUAAAUGAACAAAUUUAACAAGGUUGAUACAUCCAUUUAUGAUGCAUCAAUUUUUUUUGAGUAAGUAUGAUGAUGGUGUAUAAAACUUACUUAUUAGUACUUUUUACAGUAGUGACACUGUAAUGUAACAAUAUCUUUUUUUAAAUGUGACAUCCGGCCUUGUGAUAAAUGGUAUAAAAAUACAUCACCUGUUGUUGUUGAUCAUAUUGUUAUCAAUUCAAUAUAUGACUUUGUAAUUGCGAUUUUGUGCGUUUUCUAGAUUCUUCAAACACGGGGAAUCCCUAGUUAGAUAGUGUAGCGUAAUCUGAACUGCCAUUUAUAUCCCUCUGGCCCGAUUAUAGAGCCAUUAUAUAAUCGGGCCAGGGGAUUGUAUGGAUAGUGUAGCCGCCUUUUUAUAACCCCCUGGCCGAUUACUUGCCAUACGGUACUAUCGAAAUUUCGCAAGAAAUACUUACCUAUAUUUUUUCUAAUAUAUAAAUACAGCAGUUUAAAUAGGCUCAUUGAUCUGGCAAACGAUAAUAGUAUUUGCAAAAGGAUUUCAUGAAUUCCAUAUAACAGGAUAUAAAAUGGCCGAUUUGGCGGCAUCUGGUGGCGCAAAGAAUUGCGUUAUUCUUUCUAUCCAGAAACUCUAACGGGAAGGUUUAAGAUAGAAUAGUAUUUUAGAAUGAAAAUAUAAAUGGAUAUGUUUCUCUAUAUUUAAACGAUAUUGCUAUAAAAAUAUUUCAGGAUUUUAUACAGUAUCACAGUUAAGUAACAAAAAUCUGAAAGACUCUUGCGUUGUGCGAAUGCCACAUUUUAAAUUGUGUUACGAAUCAUGCAAUUCUGUCGAGAUCAUUACGGCAAAAUGCUAAUCACGUUUGGCACCGCCUAUAAGAUAGAUAUGGUAGAAAAAUCUCAAGUCAAUCUAUAUUUUCUGAGAUUUAUGGCUGUCAUAAACACGCUGUCAUUGUCUUUUAUCACUAAUAGAUUAAAUAUCAAUAUAUCUAACAUUAAAAAACGUAUUAAAUUUUGUUUAUAAUCAUUAUAUAAUAUCUAAUAUACUGUAGACUCUCGAUUAUCCAGAUUUUUUAAUCGGAUUAAUCUGUAAUCGGAAAAUGGAAAUUAAUUAUCGAUGUUUUAUUUUUCAAGCAC
This 1222-nucleotide long non-coding RNA is filed under the name Androctonus crassicauda. Lineage: Eukaryota; Metazoa; Arthropoda; Arachnida; Scorpiones; Buthidae. The record is from RNAcentral.